AAACCAAGGCAAAAGUUGAACGCUAAGCAAUUUUCAGUGUUUUUCAUUUUUUUUUUUGGGUUUCAAUCAGUAACAUCAACUGCAGGAGCUCCAUAAAAUCUCUCUGAACUCUUGGAUUUUUAGAGGUUUUAAUUUGCUUCUACAAGAUGAACAAACAGCAAGCAGCGUCGAUGAUGAAUCAACAGCAGCAGCAACAUAUGAUCUUUGAUUUCUUCAGAAUGCUAUCAUUCUACUUCACAACUGUUGGAUACUACUUCUGCACCAUGUUAACAAUGCUGAGUGCUUAUGCUUUUCUCUAUGGAAGAGCUUAUUUGGCGUUGUCUGGAGUUGGAGAAACAAUUCAAGAUAGAGCAGAUAUAUUCCAAAAUACUGCACUAAGUGCUGCUCUCAAUGCACAGUUUCUUUUUCAGAUUGGUGUAUUUAGUGCAGUUCCAAUGAUUUUGGGUUUCAUCUUGGAACAAAGAUUCCUGAGAGCUAUUGUUAGUUUUGUAACGAUGCAGUUUCAGCUAUGCACUGUAUUCUUCACUUUCUCAUUGGGUACAAGAACACAUUACUUUGGUUGGACUAUCCUUCAUGGUGGAGCUAGGGACUGUAGAAGACUUCAGAGAUUGGACAAAUUGGCUUUUUUAAAGAGGUGGAAUUGGAGUUAAGGGAGAAGAAAGUUGGGAAGUUUGGUGGGAUGAAGAGCUGGCACAUAUUCGAACGUUAGAGGGGAGGCUAAUGGAGACGAUUCUUAGUUUAAGAUUUUUUAUAUUUCAAUACGGCAUUGUUUACAAGCUACAUUUACAGGGAGAUAAUACAUCGUUGACGGUGUAUGGUUUUUCAUGGAUUGUAUUUGCAGUGCUUUUGAUCCUCUUUAAGAUUGCAGUGGCGUGGAAAGCAGUUCAUUCUGUUGAGCUGUUAUAUGAUGCUGGGAUUGGUAUGCUCAUAUUUAUCCCCAUUGCAUUCCUUUCCUGGUUCCCAUUUGUUUCAACAUUUCAAACCCAACCUAUGUUCAACGAAAGGGCUGGAAAUAGUCCCAACACUGGUGUGUGAUUCCCGCGUAGGACAUGCUUCAUUCUCAAGCUUUUAGGGUGUUCCAUUUUCUGAAUUUGUAGAAUGCACUCUUUGAGGCUUUGCCAGAUGAUGAAUUCCUAAGUUACCAUUUCUGUCACGUUUAACUAGUAGUCUUGGAGAGUGCUACAUUCAUAUAGAGCUUGAGAGCUUCCCCCAAUUCCCUGUAUAUAUUCUUGGGCUGACUGGUUUGCUUUUCACUAACCUUAACUGUCGUUCUAUAGUUCAUUAAAAUGAUUUUGAGGUAUUUUCA
RNA transcript from Ipomoea triloba (trilobed morning glory), 1306 nucleotides. It is a transcript of the gene named callose synthase 9-like, with no coding region annotated. The record is from RefSeq and is a predicted model, not a curated record. Lineage: Eukaryota; Viridiplantae; Streptophyta; Magnoliopsida; Solanales; Convolvulaceae. The transcript has 9 exons.